UACGGAGGAUGCAAGCGUUAUCCGGAUUCACUGGGUUUAAAGGGUGAGUAGGCGGACUGAUAAGUCAGUGGUGAAAGACUGUAGCUUAACUAUAGAAAUGCCAUUGAUACUAUCAGCCUUGAGUACAGUUGAGGCAGGCGGAAUGUGCAGUGUAGCGGUGAAAUGCUUAGAUAUUGCACAGAACACCAAUUGCGAAGGCAGCUUGCCAAGCUGUUACUGACGCUGAGUCACGAAAGCGUGGGGAUCAAACAGG
Molecule: ribosomal RNA, 253 nt
Filed under: uncultured bacterium
Lineage: Bacteria
Description: partial 16S ribosomal RNA
Rfam family: Bacterial small subunit ribosomal RNA
Source: RNAcentral